GUCAGCACAAUUACAAGUCUACUGGCUCAUUUUAUUAUUUUAUUAUAGCAAUAUAGCUCUCACAGGAGGAGAGAAAACUGCUUUUAUCCUAUUGUGUUUAGUUGCCGGGGGACUGUCAAUUAAACUGAUAAGACAGACUAACGGGGAGAAUAAGGCUUGCCGGUACGGAUGAGAAAUCCAGCAACACAGCAGUUGGCACGUGGAAUGGCUGCCGUUAGGGACACGCACCUAGCUUCAUAGGUGAAAGGGAGAGGGAGGAAAGACACCUGCGGGAAGGACAAAAAUGCUUUUCUAGAAGAGACAGAGUUUUGGAGGAACAAAUAUAAGUUGCCUCCAGCUUGAAACAGUGAAUGCCAAAGUGCACAUGCUGAGGUGGAACAUUCUCGUCUCCCUGCCUCUAGACACCGGCCACAUGACCAUACGCAUUAAUUUUACGUCUCUAAAAAGCGGUGAGAGGCUUCACACCAAGUGAUAUGAUUUUGAUUCUACAUAGGAGUGAGAUCCUGUCUGGGCCAUGUUAAAGCUCAAAAACUGUUAGUCGAGCCGUUGCAACUCAGACACCUUCUGUAGUUAGAAAAG
This 579-nucleotide long non-coding RNA is filed under the name Heterocephalus glaber (naked mole-rat). Its description in RNAcentral is "lncRNA (ENSHGLG00100038882.1)". Lineage: Eukaryota; Metazoa; Chordata; Mammalia; Rodentia; Bathyergidae. The record is from RNAcentral.